UGAUGGAGGGAAAGUUCGAAUCAGGUGAGGAAGGUACUGACAGAGCGGCUUUGGUGCUGAAUCUGAUUCAGAAAUAAGAAUGGGCUGUGGCGUUAUACAGUAUAUAUGAAAUAUUAGGUGCCAAUUUGGUUGCCUCUGUUUCUAGACUUUGUCAUGUUUUUCGUUCCCUGUUAAGUUGAUAGAUGGAGUAAGGAGAAUAACAGCAUCAUUUUGACUUGGAGGAUAAGUUUAAGUUAACGUGCUGUUGUAAAAUUAAUAUUUUAUCGUUUACCGUAAUAAUUGACUUUAGUGAGAAUACUGAACCAUAUCAGAAUGUUCUGAAGCGAUGCUGUUCGAGGGGUGGCACAGAUGAAGAUGGAAAAAUAUUCUGAGGCCCUUGACAUUUUUAAGGAAGUCUCUUGGCACAGAUCCACUCCCUUUCAGGCCAGACCCCAUUGUGCUCUACACUUUUGUAGGAAGGCUUUGGAGCUGGAUUGUGCUUGCCAUAGUGCACUUUAUCAAAGUGCUCUGGUGUUCAGACAGUUUGGCAAUCCAAAGGCAGAAAUCGAGGCCUUGCAUCUUCUUUACUCAGUCAUCCAAGUUGCAGAUGAGUUUCUUCAUCGGAGCAGAAUAAAAUAAAUUCAGCAUUACAUCAUUUGCACCACUGCAGUGAUAGGGUGCCAUCAGAAUGACUUCAAACAGCUGAUAAAAACAUCACAGUAAUUCACAUUUCACAUGCUUCAGUCCAUCAAUUAAUGUCUUGUGAAGUGAAAGGAUGCAUGUUUAUAAUAAACAAAUUCAUCAAGACAUUUUUAACUUCAAACUAUUGCUUCCACCUAAAAUACGAGUAUCCAUAAUAAUUUAUCCAUAAUAUUGCUUUCUCCAUUGAAAAAGUCUCAUCUGAAUCAGGACGGAAACAUGCACAAAUAAAGUACCGUUUAUAGAGAAAACAGUCCAAACUAUUCUAAACAGAAAUGUCAGGGGAUUUUGAUGUGAAAGGACAACAGGGGAUGAACUUUUUGACUGGAGGAAGUGUUAUUAUGGAUUAUGGACUGGUAUUUUGGCCCAAAGCAACAGUUUAAAGUUAAAUCACCUUGAUGAUGGGUUUGUUUCUAACAACCAUGCAGCUUUUCUCUUAAGAAGUUGUGUGAAUUUCUGUCAAUUUAAGGGAUGAUUUUAUGAGACUCACAUUCCCAAUACAAAUUAUCUAUUGGUGAGCAAGUGCUGUAAU
This is a long non-coding RNA of Carassius carassius (crucian carp), 1210 nucleotides long. RefSeq lists it as uncharacterized. The transcript is spliced from 4 exons. The record is from RefSeq and is a predicted model, not a curated record. Lineage: Eukaryota; Metazoa; Chordata; Actinopteri; Cypriniformes; Cyprinidae.